CGAUCUAGCUCAGGAUGAACGCUGGCGGCGUGCCUAAUACAUGCAAGUCGAACGGCAGUAGCAAUACUGUAGUGGCGAACGGGUGAGUAACACGUUGGUGACCUGCCCCAAAGAUGGGAAUAUCGACCUGGAAACGGGUGGCAAAACCGAAUAAGCUUAUACUGCUUAGAAAGGUAUAAGUAAAAGUGCAAACUACUUUGGGAGGGGCCUGCGGCCCAUCAGUUAGUUGGUGAGGGUAACGGCCCACCAAGACGAAGACGGGUAGGGGACCUGAGAGGGUGGUCCCCCACAAUGGAACUGAAACACGGUCCAUACACCUGCGGGUGGCAGCAGUAGGGAAUAUUGCUUAAUGGGCGAAAGCCUGAAGCAAGCAACGCCGCGUGGACGAAGGAGGCCUUCGGGUCGUAAAGUCCUUUUAUGUGUGAAGAGGAAGGACGGUAGCACAUGAAUAAGUCUCGGCUAACUACGUGCCAGCAGCAGC
This 481-nucleotide ribosomal RNA is filed under the name uncultured bacterium. RNAcentral's name for it is "bacterial SSU rRNA". It matches the Rfam family "Bacterial small subunit ribosomal RNA", at positions 14 to 518 of the family's 1533-position model. The record is from RNAcentral.